Long non-coding RNA from Cornus florida, 1926 nucleotides. RefSeq lists it as uncharacterized. The record is from RefSeq and is a predicted model, not a curated record. The transcript is spliced from 2 exons. NCBI's taxonomy places the organism in Eukaryota, Viridiplantae, Streptophyta, Magnoliopsida, Cornales, Cornaceae.
AGUAUCCACUCAUGAAAGGCAGCUUCUCAUAGCCUUUUUUCUUGCGCCGAGAGAGAGUAAUUGAGUUUCAGUGAUUUUGCAGCGCCAGCCCAAUCCAACACAACCACAUACCAUUGCGUAGAUUAAUCUAGAGAUUUGAAAGCGAAAAAAGAAAGAAAAACAGAGAUGGAGUUGGUUGGUGUUCUUAAUUACUAGUUGGCAACGGAUGAUUCAAUAUUCCUAGUACCAAAGGAAUCCUGUGAGUUUCCAUCGGGCAUGAUUUUUUUAUUUUUAUUUUUAUUUUAAUUUUUUUCCUACUAGGGCAUGAUUGAAGUUGGGGAAUAUAAUUAGGGUUUUAUUUAUUUAGUUUGAAAGAAAUUAUAAGAACUCACAGUGUCACACACUAUGUCUUUAAUCAGCCACCACAUCUCUCUCUUGGAUCAAUCGUUCAGAAAUGAUUUCAGUUUCAUCGAUCAGAUCAUUUCAGUUUCAUCGAUCAGAUCAAUUACUACCGAACAAUUAGGUAUACAUCCCUCUCGCUCUGGUUCGCAACGGAGGUCUCUAUCUCGUUCUCUCUCCAAUCAACCAUGGCUUACCCAUUUUUGGUUCAAUCAGUUAGGUAUAGAAUGGUGAGAUUGAUCAUGUUAUGGCAGAUGGCUUGAGCCUUGGUGAUGUCUUUGCGGAAGUGAUUUACCCUGAUUUAGAUCUGCAAGGAUGCUCUUUGAAGGUUGGUAGCCAACGAAGAGCAAUUAUUACUAAUUUUUAGGGUUCAUUCAGAUUUUGGUUGGACAUAUUUUAAGCAUUUUGAUUCUGCAGUGUCUUUCUAAUUAAGCCAACAAGCUGUUCGAUAAGGAAAUAAUGGUUUCUUGGAAUAAAGUGGUGUGUGUGUGUUUUAACUUUGCACUUAGAUUCUUACUAAUGAUUCUUGGCAUUAUCUGCUUUAUAAAUGUGUGGCCCAACUGGGACAUAUAUAUUAGUUCAACAAGUUAACAAACUUAAGCGAUCCGAUACCUUCCAAGAUCUUAGAUUGUUUUUCUUCUUCGUCGUCGAAUGGUUAAAAUUCAACUCCAUGUUUUGUUAUGUUGUCUUUGUUUCUCAAUCCUUAUGUAAUAUGAGAAAUUAAUUAAGUACAAGAUUAUCUUGUAGUAAUACUAUGAGAAUUCCAGCUUGUACUUAAAAUGCGUUAUGGACAUUCUUCCCCUUGGAGUUUGGAAACGAUGUGGACCGUGUCCAUAACAGCAUUCGGCAUAAAGUCUCAAAUCUGCAUACUUAUUAAGGGUGAAGGAAUUCCAUAUGCGUAACUCUUCCAACUUCUUUGCCGGCUUUUUUCUUUCUUGCAGCGUAUGUUGUCGCAGCCGAGAGCCACAGCUCCUGGAGAUUGAUUUUAUGUUGAUCAAUGGCAAGAGGUUUCCACCGUUGGCUAGCAACGGAUGACAUCUUACCUCGACCCGUCACCUUGGCUCGAGACAUGGCCAACUCAAAUUUCUUGCGCUCCAAGCUUACCAGUUGUAGUUACUCCUUACAUAGCUUCGGCCCGAGUUCUGCCAACGAACAUGUCCGUUGCCGGGGCUUUUGCUGUUGCCGGAGUGUUCCAGUCCGUUGAUAAUAUCAGCCCAAUUUCUUGCUAUAUCAAUUUCUUCCGUGGGACGGACACCAAGAAUUGCAAAUCCCAGACUAAUGAUAUAUAUAAAGAGAGAGAUUUGGAGGGAGAAGUUGAGCAGAAAACGAAGAUUAAUUUCUAAAAUUGAGAAGCAAAGAAUGGGUUUUAUAGAUUGAAAGUCGGUGACUGAUAUUGAGGCACGAGGAGUUUGAAUAUAUAUAGAAGCCAACAAUAUAUAUGUGCGCGCGCGGGGGUAUUGAUUUUCAUGUAAUACGUACUUUCCUUUCUUGUUAUGGGCCUAUAACAAGAUAUUUAUUGUCCCUUGAACAGCCUUUUAAUUAUUGGUG